GUUAUUCUGUGCCCUUUUUAGGUUUCCAAAACCAGCGUCUGUUCUCCUGCUGGCAUUUACACUACGUUCUUCUUCUUCUUUACUCCCAAGCCAAUACCACAGAAAGGCUGUAAUUGUCCCUAUAUUUUUCUUUGCACCAACUAGUAUAUACCGAUAGCAAUUUUGUGAGUGUUUCUGGUAUUAAACAUUAAGCUGGAAGCUGUAAAAUAAGAGGAAUGGGCCAGGCAUUUCGUCGAGCAUCUGGCAGAAUACGAGCCACCGACCCAUCGCCGACUGCCAAGAGCGUACGGGAACGCAGGCCUCCCGUGGGCACCACCGAAAAGGUGAAUAUCUCAAGGAGAACCGCCCAAUAUAACAAUCAGGACAGUCUUGAUUCUGGUUAGUGCCUAUGUCAUUGCUUGUUCUUUAGACGUCUCAAAUUCUUUAGUCUUUGAGUAAUUUGGAAGUUACAGCUACUUCGGUUUU
Molecule: unclassified non-coding RNA, 465 nt
Filed under: Hevea brasiliensis (rubber tree)
Lineage: Eukaryota; Viridiplantae; Streptophyta; Magnoliopsida; Malpighiales; Euphorbiaceae
Source: RNAcentral